UUAAACACAGCUGGACUCCAAUGAAGGAGUAGAACCAUCUCAAGGAGGAUCAGAAGAAAUGGACAGCAUAUGGUUUUCCUCACCUCUGUCUGAACUCCUGGAACACGAUGCGGUUGGGGAAUCCCUGCCUGCAGAUCCGGAUGCCCUCCAGCACGCCGUUACACCUGAGCUGCUCCAGAACCAGGUUGGAGUCCAUCUUCCCAGCCUGCAGCACAGCACACUCAGUCAUUGCGGACGAAGUUGGGCUGCGUGUUGUGCAGCGUGGUCAUCAGCUUCCCCAGAGACUCCUUGUACAGCUGACCGA
Anoplopoma fimbria (sablefish) is the source of this 304-nucleotide long non-coding RNA. RefSeq lists it as uncharacterized. NCBI's taxonomy places the organism in Eukaryota, Metazoa, Chordata, Actinopteri, Perciformes, Anoplopomatidae. The record is from RefSeq and is a predicted model, not a curated record. The transcript is spliced from 3 exons.